UUCACAUUAUUUUUACAUGACAUGAAAUAUUCUUCUCCUUUUGAUUUUUUUCAACAGUUAAAAAAUGUGGAAACUGUUCUCAGUUUGCAGGCCACACAGAAGCUGGCUGUCGACUGGGUGUGGGUCCUGAGCUGCAUUUCGGUCGCUGCUGAUUCCAUUUGUUUAUUGAGCCAAGUCAGUUUCUCUGCUGUGUGGAAGACCCACAUCCUACCUGGCAGCAAAGUGCAUCCGGGAUCUGCCUGCUGCUCCUGUCUCUCUGGUCCACUCAGUGCUCCACGACCCUCACUGGAACUUCCUGUCACCUCCCUGGCUCCCUGCUCCCAGGUCAGCCUCCCAUUCUGUUCUCCUACAGCUGCCAGAGCGAAUCUCUUGCCACCUCAAGGGUCCUCCCUGUGUUAGCCUCUCCCCCAGAAUAAAAGCCACAUGGCUGGGAACACUCUUGACUUCUUCACCUUGGCCUGCUGGCCCUGCCCUAGCCAUGCUGCCCCAGAACCCCCCUUGGCCACAAUUGGUAUACACCACAGGGCCUUUGCACAGGCUGUUCCUUCUGCUUUGCCCAAAUAUCACUUUCUCAAGCAGACCUUCCUUAAGUACUUAAAUAAUUUAAAGUGCAAAGAUGC
Molecule: long non-coding RNA, 620 nt
Filed under: Fukomys damarensis (Damara mole-rat)
Lineage: Eukaryota; Metazoa; Chordata; Mammalia; Rodentia; Bathyergidae
Description: lncRNA (ENSFDAG00000022795.1)
Source: RNAcentral